GUUUGAACGUUUAUAAUCUCUAAAAUAUCAUCAACACUACUAAUUGUUAUCACGUCAAUAUGAAGCUGUUCUUAAUAUUAUGGUUGGUUGCUCUAUGUGGGGCUGAUGAGGAGAGAGAAGCUAUAAAACUAGCAGCUGACAGUCCUCAGAAGCUGCAGGCGCUCUUCACACAGUUCAGACAGGAGAAUCACAGAGUCUACCAGAAUAAUGGGGAGGCUAGGAUGAGAAUGGGAAUCUUCAGGAAGUUCGUGAAGGAGGCAGCUAAAGUGAAUGAAGAUCAAGAAGAGAUCACAGUUGGAGUUACAUUCUUUGCGGACCUGACAGAGGAGGAGAAGGUUCAAUACCACGGAGCCAACAUUACAGA
Molecule: long non-coding RNA, 364 nt
Organism: Bolinopsis microptera
Lineage: Eukaryota; Metazoa; Ctenophora; Tentaculata; Lobata; Bolinopsidae
Exons: 3
Source: RefSeq, a predicted model, not a curated record